AGCGAACGCUGGCGGCAGGCUUAACACAUGCAAGUCGAACGGAAGGGCAGUGCGUUUUUGGGGUUCUCGAUGGCGAGACGGGUAAGGAUGAGGUAAAUAACCGACCCUUGAUUUUCGUGUGGCUUCAGGAAGGGGAGGCUAAUAACGUAUAGGAUCUCCUGCUGGGUGGUAAGGGGUGGAAAUUUUCGCCUUUUGGGGAUGGACGGGCGGCUUAUUAGCUUGUUGGUGGGGUAGAGGCCCACCAAGGCGACGAGCCGUAGCUGGCCUGAGAGGGUGACCGGCCACACUGGAACGGAGACACGGUCCGUACUCCUACGGGAGGCAGCAGUGGGGAAUAUUGGACAAUGGGCGCAAGCCUGAUCCAGCCAUACCGCGUGGGUGAAGAAGGCCUGCGGGUUGUAAAGCCCUUUUGUUGGGAAAGAAAAGCAGCAGGUUAAUACCCCGCUGUUCUGACGGUACCCAAAGAAUAAGCACCGGCUAACUUCGUG
This 488-nucleotide ribosomal RNA is filed under the name uncultured bacterium. RNAcentral describes it as "partial 16S ribosomal RNA". It matches the Rfam family "Bacterial small subunit ribosomal RNA", at positions 29 to 507 of the family's 1533-position model. The record is from RNAcentral.